GUAAAAUGUCACUCAAUGAUCUUAAUAUGGAACAUGUCCCAUCUGAAGUGUUUCCCACUAAUUGGACGGUCUAGUCUGAGAUACAAAUAUGCCAACGUGUACGAUUCUGUGUGGACGUGUAAGAAUCGUUACACUCCGCCGAGUAUUAUAUGUUAUUUUGGGAUCCUUAGUUUCGAAGCAAAACGACUCCUUGGAGCUUAUAAAACUCUCUGAACUGUCGCUUCUUUCUUCCAUUUCUCAGAGAGAGAGAGAGAGAGAGAGAGAGAGAAAAUGUACGGCCCACCAUCGAAUCAGGAGAUGUCAUACUACGAGCACGUGCAGAAGCGGCACGAGGAGAAGGGCUGCCUCUACGCUUGCUUGUUCGCUGCGUGUUGCUGCUUUUGCUGCUACGAGACGUGCGAGUGCUGCUUUGACAUUCUCUGCUGUUGCUGCCCUUAAAAUGCAAUCCCCAUUACCCCAUUUGGCUGUUAUCAGUUUUAGUUUUCUCAAAUCUACUUCUUCAUGCUUUAGGAUAUGGACUUGCUGCUAGGAAUGGGGGGUUGAAUUAAGUAGUUUGUGUGAAUUUUCCCUUCACAAAUAACUAUGAAAUUGUGAUUUGGGCUUGUUGUUA
Molecule: long non-coding RNA, 610 nt
Organism: Magnolia sinica
Lineage: Eukaryota; Viridiplantae; Streptophyta; Magnoliopsida; Magnoliales; Magnoliaceae
Exons: 2
Source: RefSeq, a predicted model, not a curated record